Anolis sagrei ordinatus is the source of this 1462-nucleotide long non-coding RNA. RefSeq lists it as uncharacterized. The record is from RefSeq and is a predicted model, not a curated record. NCBI's taxonomy places the organism in Eukaryota, Metazoa, Chordata, Lepidosauria, Squamata, Anolidae.
CCUUGUCCUUAUACCCCAAGACACAUGACCAGUAACCCGAGAUCUGGGAAUUUUGCUGUUGAUUCAGCUCUUUUAAUCUAAUGGUUUAUUCUGCCUGCCUUGACUGUACUGUCCCCAGCUACUGGGACUAGCUCCUCCUAUCCCUUGGGUACCAACAGCUGACAGUUAAGUAAGCUUGUGGCGGGUGAUUGAUCCAGAGGGCUUUUCUUCCCUUCAAGAGAGCAGACAGACUGACAGAGAACAGGGGUUUCCUGACUUGGUAGUGGCCAAGAUAAAUGUAGAGUCCAUCCAGACUGACUGCAAAUGAACCACUGAGUUCCUGGAUUACCUGUUGCUAAAGAGCAUCCAGUUCAACAGAUCUGGAACCAUCAAGUAGACAAAGCUGGUGAUCAAACUCUUUCUCAUGCUACUCACUUGAAUGAUGGCCCUAGUCAUGAGCCAAGGUUGCCGGCUCCAUUCUGGAUUGCUCUUCAUCAGGAUGGCAAACAGACACGGAUGUCUCAUUCAUAGCAAGCCAGCCAAAGGCAAAGUGGGUCCACUGGAAACCAUCAUUGGCUUCACAGUCUUUUCACUGGCUGUUCUUGGACCAGCUGGGUGGUUUCUGUCUCAUAUUGCAAGCUAUAGAAGGAGGUAGAAGAUAUUCUUCAGUUUCUGGAAGAUGUGGCUCAUCAGAUCAGCUAUCAACAAUCCCUGUCAACUAAAAAUAGAACAAACGCCUCCAGAUUUUAUCUCUGUUGCUGUGAUUUCUUUAUUUAUCAGCAACAAAGAGGAGUAAGAACUAUUAGAAGAAAAGAAAAAAUAUAUAUAGAUGUUAAGGAAUUACAUCAUGAGUCUAAAUACCCUAUGGUAUUAUCUUGAGGAUCAUAAUAGCUAAGAGUUAUUUCAGAGCAGAAGAAAAGUGCUGGAUUGAUCUUGUUGUUACUACAUGAAAUUUAAAAUUGUGCAGACAAAAAUAUUGGGUUUAUGAUGUCGAUCAUUUCUACACGUAUUCUCCCCUAUGAACCAUCAAGAUUACUAAGAUCGUCUGGAGGGGCCCUGCUCUCGGUCCCACCGGCCUCACAAGUGCGGCUGGUGGGGACGAGGGACAGGGCCUUCUUGGUGGUGGCCCCGCGACUCUGGAACUCUCUCCCGCCUGAUGUCAGAACCGCCCCAACAAUUCUGACAUUCAGGAAACAGGUGAAGUCGUGGUUGUGGCUUUCGAAGGCUUGCUUGGCUUUCGAAGAAUGAGACAACGUUCUGGAUGGAAGACGGUGUAUAUUCGAUUUUAGUACGACGACUGACCACUGUAGUUUUUAAAUUUAUGUGUUUUUCCAGUGUUUUAUUGUAAUUAUGUACUUUGAUAUUUUACCAAUUGUAUGUGUUUUUAUGGUUGGAAACCAGGCUGAGUCCCUCUAAGGAGUUGAGAAGCUCGGUAUAUAAAACUUUGAAAUAAAUAAAUAAAUAAAUAAAUAUAGCAGUUCUA